This 245-nucleotide ribosomal RNA is filed under the name uncultured bacterium. Its description in RNAcentral is "partial 16S ribosomal RNA". It matches the Rfam family "Bacterial small subunit ribosomal RNA", at positions 528 to 772 of the family's 1533-position model. The record is from RNAcentral.
UAGGGGGCAAGCGUUAUCCGGUUUUACUGGGUGUAAAGGGAGCGUAGGCGGCGACGCAAGUCAGAAGUGAAAGCCCGUGGCUCAACCGCGGGACUGCUUUUGAAACUGUGUCGCUAGAUUGCGGGAGAGGCAAGUGGAAUUCCUAGUGUAGCGGUGAAAUGCGUAGAUAUUAGGAGGAACACCAGUGGCGAAGGCGGCUUGCUGGACCGUGAAUGACGCUGAGGCUCGAAAGCGUGGGGAGCAAA